CUAGUGACAGGACAGGGGGAAGUAACAAAGGGGUACUGUGAACUGCUUGGAAAGGGGUCCACAUCCCAUGUUGGGCUUGAACUCAUGACCCAGAGAUCAAGAGUUGUACAUUCUACCAGAAGAGCCAGCCAGAUCCUUAUGAGGACCUAGGAAAAUCUGAUGAUUCUUCUAAGAAACUGGGCUACAGCAAGGAAAAAACCCAGCGGAGAGAAGGUUAAGUUUUUACAAUGGAGAUGUACGUGAAGACGAAAACUAACAAUUGGGAUAAAAUACAUAAGAAUGAUGGGUCACCUAGAGAUGUCAACAAAAAGAAACACUAGGGAGGUCCAGCGCUGGAACCAAAAAAGGAAAACAAACUGAGGGCACCAGAACAGAAUUCCACCACAGACAGACAGACAUCUGUAACACAACUAACAUUUUUUUAUUUCCACGCUGAAUCCCUACGUUGUACAUCUGAAACUAAUGUAACACUGUAUGUUA
Molecule: long non-coding RNA, 480 nt
Organism: Mustela lutreola (European mink)
Lineage: Eukaryota; Metazoa; Chordata; Mammalia; Carnivora; Mustelidae
Exons: 4
Source: RefSeq, a predicted model, not a curated record